GACCAAAUGGGGACGGGGAUAGACA
RNAcentral lists this non-coding RNA (25 nucleotides) under Cricetulus griseus (Chinese hamster). The record is from RNAcentral. Lineage: Eukaryota; Metazoa; Chordata; Mammalia; Rodentia; Cricetidae.